CUACAGACUGCCAGCAUGACAGAAGGACAGGUCAUCUCGAGUCUUCAUGAGUGGUGAUGGAGGGGCAUCCCAACCCUCUUCUAUGUUUGAAGAAGUCAGGACCACCAAGGCAUCAUCGGGCACCUCUGUGAAAGGGAUCUGUAUCUGUAUCAAGAUACUCUGAAGAAUAGCAACUACCCUUGGGAAUGUCUCUUGUUACAAAAUGACUAAAAUGAAGUCUGGCAUCUUCCAUUUUGCCACCAUCUUCAUAUUAACACUUGAGAUCAGAAUCCAAUUAUCUGAUGAAAGUGAAUUUUUAGUUGAUAGAUCAAAAACAGGUCUCAUCUGUGUUCCCAAAGACCUACCCCUGAAAACAACAGUCUUAGAUAUAUCACAAAACUCUAUUUCUGAGCUUCGGGCACCUGACAUCCUAUCACUAUCAAAACUGAAAAUUUUGAUACUUUCUCAUAAUAGAAUCCAGUAUCUUGAUAUCAGUGUUUUCAAAUUCAACCAGGAAUUAGAAUACUUGGAUUUGUCCCACAACAAGCUGGAGCAGAUUUCUUGCCACCCUAUUCUGAACCUCAAGCACUUAGACCUCUCAUUUAAUGCAUUUGAUGCCCUGCCCAUUUGCCAAGAGUUUGGCAACAUGUCUCAACUACAGUUUCUGGGGUUGAGUGCCACACAGUUUCAAAAACCUAGUCUGCUGCCAAUUGCUCAUAUGCAUAUCAAUAAGGUUUUACUGGUCUUAGGAGACACUUACGGGGGAAAAGAAGACCCUGAGAGCCUUCAAGACCUGAACAUACAGAGUCUGCACAUUGUUUUCCCCACAGGAAAGGAAUUCCAUUUUACUUUGGACGUGUCACUCAGCACUGCAGUAAGUCUGGAACUGUCUAACAUCAAAUGUGUUCUGGGUGAUGAUGGAUGUCCUUAUUUCCACAAUGUUCUGUCAAAACUCCAAAAGAAUUCAAGGUUAUCAAAUCUUACUUUAAACAACAUUGAAACAACUUGGAAUUUUUUCAUCAUGAUCCUCCAGUUGGUUUGGCAUACGAGCAUUGAGUAUUUCUCAAUUUCAAAUGUGAAACUACAAGGUCACCUUGGCUUCAGAGAUUUUGAUUAUUCUGACACUUCACUGAAGGUCUUGUCUAUACACCAAGUCGUCACUGAUGUGUUUGGGUUUCCACAAAGUUAUAUCUAUGAAAUCUUCUCAAAUAUGAACAUCCAACAUCUCGCAGUGUCUGCUACACACAUGGUCCACAUGGUUUGCCCAUCCCAAAUUAGCCCAUUUCUGUAUUUGGAUUUUUCCAAUAAUGUCUUAACAGACAUGGUUUUUAAAAAUUGUGGAAAUCUGAUUAAUUUGGAGACAUUCAGUUUACAAAUGAAUCAGUUAAAAGAACUUGCAAUUAUAGUUCAUAUGACCAAGACAAUGACAUCUCUACAACAAUUGGAUGUUAGCCAGAAUUCUCUAAGGUAUGAUGAAAAUGAAGGAAAUUGCUCUUGGACUAGAAGUUUAUUAAGUUUAAAUAUGUCUUCAAAUAUACUUACUGACUCUGUUUUCAGAUGUUUACCUCCCAGGGUCAAGGUUCUUGAUCUUCACAAUAACAGAAUAAGGAGCAUCCCUAAAGAUGUCACCAGUCUAGAAGCUUUGCAAGAGCUCAAUGUUGCUUUCAAUUUUUUAGUCCACCUUCCUGGAUGUGGUACCUUUAGCAGCCUUUCUGUACUGAUCAUUGACUAUAAUUCAAUUUCCAACCCAUCAGCUGAUUUCUUCCAGAGCUGCCAGAAGAUUAGGUCCCUAAAAGCAGGGAACAAUCCAUUCCAAUGUACAUGUGAGCUAAGAGACUUUAUCCAGGGUAUAGGCCAAGUACCAAGUGAAGUGGUAGAGGACUGGCCUGAUUCUUAUAAGUGUGACUAUCCAGAAAGCUAUAAGGGAACCCCACUAAAGGACUUCCACGUAUCUCAAUUAUCCUGCAACACAACUCUGCUGAUUGUCACCAUUGGGGUCACUGGGCUGCUGGUGGCUGUUACUGUGACCGUCCUCUGUAUCUACUUGGAUCUUCCCUGGUAUCUCAGGAUGCUGUGUCAGUGGACCCAGACCCGGCACAGGGCUAGGAAUGUACCCUUAGCAGAACUCCAAAGAACUCUCCAGUUCCAUGCUUUUAUUUCAUACAGUGGGCACGAUUCUUCAUGGGUAAAGAGUGAAUUACUACCAAACCUAGAAAAAGAAGAUAUAAAGAUUUGUCUUCAUGAGAGGGAUUUUGUUCCCGGCAAGAGCAUCAUGGAAAAUAUCAUAAACUGUAUUGAGAAAAGUUACAAGUCCAUCUUUGUCUUGUCUCCCAACUUUGUUCAGAGCGAGUGGUGCCAUUAUGAACUCUACUUCGCCCACCACAACCUCUUCCAUGAAGGAUCCAAUAACUUAAUCCUGAUCUUGCUGGAUCCCAUUCCACAGUAUUCCAUUCCUAACAGCUAUCACAAGCUCAAAGCUCUCAUGGCACAGAGAACUUAUUUGGAAUGGCCCAAGGAGAAUAGCAAACAUGGACUUUUUUGGGCUAAUCUAAGAGCAUCUAUUAAUAUUAAAUUGAUGGAGAAAUCAAAAGAAUUAAGUUACACACAGAUCUAAAAAUAUUCCUCUGCUGCUUUUAGAAAAAAUGUUGCUGCUUUUGCAAGUUCCAACAAUGACUUUAUUUUGCAUUAACACGAAUCUAAACAUGACUUUAAAUUUAAGAUGUAGACAAAAAUGUGUACAUCCUCUCAGGCCUCAGUUCCCCAUUUAUACAUGGUUAUUCCAAGAUAUUGAACAUAGUUCCCUGUGCUAUACUGAAGAAACUUUUUUCUUUUUGUCAACAAAGUUUCUAGGUGUGGGGUUAUCACCUUGUAUUUUCAAGUAAAGCCACUUGAGUGCCCAGCCUUAGGAAAGCUGUCCCUCCUGAGGAUUUCAGAGGCAUUCUGAACUCCCGGCCACCUCUCCUGUGCUUCCUGGACUGUGUCUUCUGUGGCUCCCCAACACUGUGGACCAGCUCACCCCUGCCUUCCUUGGGUGUUUCAGAGCUCUCUAAUAGACUUCAUCUUCAUACUAGGACACAGUUGCUUCCUGAAUUCCCCAAGUUAACACCCACACAAGUGGAUGACAACCCUUAAUAAAAAGCCAUGAUCAAAGUUAAUCAACAAGGUCCCAGGCACCAUGCCUUUGAGAGGCAAGGGACAGGAGUGCUGCAUGUUGAUGAUGUGGUCACAGACAGGCCCAUGAAGAUGUUCACCCUUCUUCCCGGAAGUUCAGUAUGUCUUAGAACUUAAAUAUGAUAGUCCCCUCCCCCAAAGAAAUGAGAGCCUAAAUCUGGGAGAUCCACAUCUAUCUCUUUCUGGAACUAAAUGUUUAUUUGUUUUUUCGAAAUAUAAUUCAGGGAACAUAACCUCUGUCACUAUUUUCUCUUACUAGAGGAGCGCCACCCAAUCAACACGCGCUUCACACUAGACUCCCAGACCGCAGAGGGGCAAUGGGGGAAGCAGCGGGCCCGGCUGGCUGACUCUGUGCACUUGAUAUUCCUGCCUGCUUGCAUCAGGGGAGGCUCUAGCAGGGGCAACACACAAAGGAAGCCCGCAGACUAUUGGGUGGUCCAGGGGCCCCCUGCCCAAUAGAGAUGCUCCAUUUUGGAUGGUGAGAAAAAGAGGAGCCAAUCAGAUUUCUUAUCUUGGGGGCUGUACCCUCAGGAUGAGCUUCAGUGCUGCCCACCAGCCGUGAUACUGAGAAAGGCAGGAAGAAAGUGGGAAGAAAGAGGCAAAGGCAGCAGGAAAGAGAAGCUGGGAGUAAAAAGAGAAGCAGGCUGAGAAAGAAAGAGUCAAAGAGAAGCUGAGUCAGAACUAGAGUAGAGAAGAGCCCUUUGCCCAAUUUGGAGGGUAGCAAGCCCGCCUUCCAGGUCUCUGUGAAGCCUGCCUGUGUGCCGCUGGGCUCCCUCACUUCCUGUGGGUUCUCUUUUUUUCUGUAGUGUCUUUAAAAUAAACCUCCAUCCAGUUGAGGUAACCCAAAGUUCUCUGUUGGUUCCAAGUUAUAUGGCAGGCAGAAGUCUGAAAUCAGGGGAUGGCAUGAGGGAGGAAAUGUAUGAGAGAGAGAGAGAGGGAGGGAGGGAGGGAGGGAGAGAGAGAGAGAGAGAUGGGGGCAUAUCAUGUCAGAUAUCUAUGAAGCUCAGAGCAAGAGGAGAAGGGGGAAAAAGGAGGGUAAAGUGGAUAAGAAUGUUUUUUGAGAAUGAAAAAUAUUACUAGCUAAAGAUGUCAGCACAUAUGGUUCUGAGCAUACUGUUAUUGCUUAUUGCAAAUAAGGGUUUAAAGAUUUUAGAAAUUCCAGGUGAUGGCAGAGGGAAUAGUAUUUAAACUGUUGGGCACCUGAAGCAAACAUUGUGGGCUUCAGAGCCAGAUAGACUCAAGUUUUGAAUCUUGAUUCCACUUCUUACGGGAUGAUGACCUUGGGCAAGUUUCUUGUUCUCUCUGAACCAGACUCAUCUGUCAAGUGGGAAUCAUAUGUAUGUUCUAUGUAGUUUGCAGUGAGGAUUCAACAGUAUCUUGUUUGUAACACUUGCUGCCCUUGGGAAGAAGGCAAGCGGUAGUGAUCACGAUGGGGAUGAUGACAACACAGAAUACUACUCUCUAACUUGGCUUCUUUCUGGAAAUUAAAUUGAAAAAAAAUAAGUAAAGAAAAAUUCCACAUUCACUGACCGUGUAAAGUGUUUAAAAAUGUUGGGCUCUGAAAAAAAUGUGUCUUUGGACACCAAAAACCCCAAGUGAUUAUUUUUCCUUGACAGGGAUGUUUAGAAUGUGAGAGUGCUGAUUGUAGUCAUUUGAGAAUUCUUGAGAUGAAGGGAAUGUUAGCGCCUAGUUCGUGCAACAAGCUAGGAAUGCUCUCCAGCACUCUUGCUGGGCACGGGCCCGGGCCCGGUACUUGUUUCCAGGUGUAGACGGUUUCGUCUCUGUGAAGGUGGCAGCAGAGCGGACUGUAUCUGUUGUGUUUUUCUUUAAACAGUUAUUCAUUGUGUGAUUUUCUCUCUACAAUAUACAUACAAAUACACGUUAUUACAUUUUGACUAAAAAUCCCCAAUAUGAUUGUGAAAAACUAUUUUGUUUUAAGGACCCCCCCCCACACAAUUUCAUAUUUACAUAAACUUAUUAUAAUUAUUCAGUUUCAAACUGACUAUUCCUCCCAUGGACAAAUCCAUUUGGAAAUUUUCACCUUCCUCAGUGAGCUCCAGCAGUGUCAGCUGAAUCUAAAGUCAAGCAUAAGUAAAACUUCAAAAAUUGAUGCUUUGAAAAAAUUGACCUCUUCUCUGCACACUACAUUAAAAAAUACCACGCUUGUGUUACCACUUCAUUUCAAGACGAGGCCUCUGGCCCUUCCCACUCUCUCCCAAUCAGACUGCUGAAAUUUUGCAGCCACCGUUUUCAUUUCUUCUCAUCACCACUUGGCCUUCCCACCCAGUUUGAAGGGCAGGAUGACUGAUGUGAACCUUGAAGUGAAGCACCAUCAAAGUGCUGUAAGCUGCUGUGGGAAACAGUAUGGCAGCUCUGCAAAAAUUCAGACACAGAAUUGCCGUAGGGUCCAGCAGGUCCGCUUCAAGGCAUCUACCCUGAAGAACUGAAAGCAGGGACUUGAACAGAUAAUUGUACACAUCCAUGUCCAUAGAAGCACUAUUCACAGUAGUCAAAGGGUGAAAACAACCCAAAUACCCAUUGAUGGAUGAAUGGAUAAGCAAAAUGUGGUAUACACACGCAAUGGAAUAUUUUUCAGCCUUAAACAGGAAAGGAAGGAAAUUGUGAUACAUACUACAACAUGGAAGAAUAUUGAACACAUUAUGCUAAAUGAAAUAAGGCAAUCACACGAAUGUAUGAUUCCACUUAUUUGAGGUGCCUAGAGUAGUCAAAUCUGUAGAGACAGAAAGUAGAACAGUGGUUACGGGGGAGCUGAAGGGAGGAAAAAGUGGGGAGUUGUUGUUUAAUGGGUACAGAGUUUCAGUGUGGGAUGAUGAGAGAGUCCUGAAGCUGGGUGGUGCUGAUGGUUGAACGACUAUGUGAAUGUACUAAAAGCCACUGAACUGUACACUUAAAAUGGUUAAAAUGGUAGAUUUUAUGUCGUGUGUAUUUUCCUGCAAUUCUUUAAAAAGU
Molecule: RNA transcript, 6120 nt
Organism: Camelus dromedarius (Arabian camel)
Lineage: Eukaryota; Metazoa; Chordata; Mammalia; Artiodactyla; Camelidae
Gene: TLR1
Gene name: toll like receptor 1
Exons: 4
Source: RefSeq, a predicted model, not a curated record